CUUUAUUUGCUCAGAGCCCAGUGCCUAAUGUAGCAAUAUUACCAUAAAAAUAAUCACCAGUGGCUACAUACCACCCGCGCUUGAAUAUAGCUGGUUCUUCACAAGGCCAGUCUAAGCUGUUAAAGUUGGAUCUACCACACACUCCAUUACCAACUAUUAAAGUAAAUCAGGGACAAGCCCGAUUUAUGCUCUUAUUAUAAAAAAAAUAUAAACAUCUAUGUAGGCCCAAAAACAGCCAUCAACCAUUUCGUUUCUGUACACCAAAAAAUAAAAUUCAACCAUAAUACAAAAAAGUGAAGUAAGGACAAAAACCAAGCCCGCCCUAAACCUAUGCAAAGACUAGUAUUAUUUAACUAUACAUGAUAAAGGAACUCGGCAACCACUUCACUCCGCCUGUUUAACAAAACACCGCCUGUAGACACCCAAUUAUAGGUCAAUCCUGCCCAGUGAACAUUUUAAACGGCCGCGGUAUCCUGACCGUGCAAAGGUAGCAUAAUCAUUUGCCUUCUAAUUAGAGGCUAGUAUGAACGGACAAACGAGAGUAAACCUGUCUCUCUCAUGAAACUAAAACCUUACCUUCAGGUGAAGAGGCCUGAAUAUAUAUAAAAGACAAGAAGACCCUGUCGAGCUUUAAUUAAAGCAGUCACAUAAAUUUCACUCGACAACUAAAACACUGUAAAUAAUUUUUGUUGGGGCGACAAUGGAAUAUAAAAAUCUUCCAGCAAACCAUAGACCUCAAGUCUCCCAAGAGAUCCUCACAAAGAUCAUAGGAACCAGCUACCGCAGGGAUAACAGACUAAUUCUUCCCCAGAGCCCAAAUCUACGGAAGAGAUUGGCACCUCGAUGUUGGCUUAAGAUUCCUCCUGAGUGCAGCAGCUCAGAAUGUGGGUUUGUUCAACCCUUAAAAUCUUACAUGAG
RNAcentral lists this ribosomal RNA (918 nucleotides) under Eunice filamentosa complex CBC. RNAcentral describes it as "partial 16S ribosomal RNA". It matches the Rfam family "Archaeal large subunit ribosomal RNA", at positions 832 to 2673 of the family's 2987-position model. The record is from RNAcentral. Lineage: Eukaryota; Metazoa; Annelida; Polychaeta; Eunicida; Eunicidae.